AUCAGCGGGGAAAGAAG
Molecule: non-coding RNA, 17 nt
Filed under: Mus musculus (house mouse)
Lineage: Eukaryota; Metazoa; Chordata; Mammalia; Rodentia; Muridae
Source: RNAcentral